GACGAACGCUGGCGGCGUGCUUAACACAUGCAAGUCGAACGGGUCUGCCCUGUUUUUUGCGGGGUGGGUCAGUGGCGAACGGGUGAGUAACACGUGAGUAACCUGCCCCUCACUUCUGGAUAACCGCUUGAAAGGGUGGCUAAUACGGGGUGUUCUGGCUGUGCCGCAUGGUGUGGCUGGGAAAGAUUCACUUUUGUGGUGUUUUGGUGGGGGAUGGGCUCGCGGCCUAUCAGCUUGUUGGUGGGGUGAUGGCCUGUCAAGGCUUUGACGGGUAGCCGGCCUGAGAGGGUUGGCGGUCACACUGGGACUGAGAUACGGCCCAGACUCCUGCGGGAGGCAGCAGUGGGGGGUAUUGCACAAUGGGCGGAAGCCUGAUGCAGCGACGUCGCGUGAGGGAUGGAGGCCUUCGGGUUGUGAACCUCUUUCGCCGGUGAAGAAGGUCCUGCUCUUUGUGGUGGGGUUGACGGUAGCCGGGUUAUGAAGCGCCGGCUAACUACGUG
Molecule: ribosomal RNA, 500 nt
Filed under: uncultured bacterium
Lineage: Bacteria
Description: partial 16S ribosomal RNA
Rfam family: Bacterial small subunit ribosomal RNA
Source: RNAcentral